UACGAAGGGGGCUAGCGUUGUUCGGAUUUACUGGGCGUAAAGCGCACGUAGGCGGAUUGUUAAGUGAGGGUGAAUCCAAGGCUCAACCCUGGAACUGCCUUUCAUACUGGCAAUCUUGAGUCCGGAAGAGGUGAGUGGAAUCUCCUAGUGGUAGUGGUGGAAUGCGUAGAUAUCGGGAGGAACACCAGUGGCGAAGGCGGCUCUCGUGGA
RNAcentral lists this ribosomal RNA (210 nucleotides) under uncultured bacterium. RNAcentral's name for it is "partial 16S ribosomal RNA". It matches the Rfam family "Bacterial small subunit ribosomal RNA", at positions 524 to 733 of the family's 1533-position model. The record is from RNAcentral.